RNAcentral lists this ribosomal RNA (2466 nucleotides) under Bacillus licheniformis. RNAcentral's name for it is "bacterial LSU rRNA". It matches the Rfam family "Bacterial large subunit ribosomal RNA", at positions 3 to 2474 of the family's 2925-position model. The record is from RNAcentral. Lineage: Bacteria; Bacillati; Bacillota; Bacilli; Caryophanales; Bacillaceae.
UUAAGUUAGAAAGGGCGCACGGUGGAUGCCUUGGCACUAGGAGCCGAUGAAGGACGGGACGAACACCGAUAUGCUUCGGGGAGCUGUAAGCAAGCUUUGAUCCGGAGAUUUCCGAAUGGGGAAACCCACUGCUCGUAAUGGAGCAGUAUCCAUAUCUGAAUUCAUAGGAUAUGAGAAGGCAGACCCGGGGAAAUGAAACAUCUAAGUACCCGGAGGAAGAGAAAGCAAAUGCGAUUCCCUGAGUAGCGGCGAGCGAAACGGGAACAGCCCAAACCAAGAGGCUUGCCUCUUGGGGUUGUAGGACACUCUGUACGGAGUUACAAAAGAACGAGGUAGAUGAAGAGGUCUGGAAAGGCCCGCCAUAGGAGGUAACAGCCCUGUAGUCAAAACUUCGUUCUCUCCUGAGUGGAUCCUGAGUACGGCGGAACACGUGAAAUUCCGUCGGAAUCCGGGAGGACCAUCUCCCAAGGCUAAAUACUCCCUAGUGACCGAUAGUGAACCAGUACCGUGAGGGAAAGGUGAAAAGCACCCCGGAAGGGGAGUGAAAGAGAUCCUGAAACCGUGUGCCUACAAGUAGUCAGAGCCCGUUAACGGGUGAUGGCGUGCCUUUUGUAGAAUGAACCGGCGAGUUACGAUCCCGUGCAAGGUUAAGUUUGAAAAGACGGAGCCGCAGCGAAAGCGAGUCUGAAUAGGGCGCAUGAGUACGUGGUCGUAGACCCGAAACCAGGUGAUCUACCCAUGUCCAGGGUGAAGUUCAGGUAACACUGAAUGGAGGCCCGAACCCACGCACGUUGAAAAGUGCGGGGAUGAGGUGUGGGUAGGGGUGAAAUGCCAAUCGAACCUGGAGAUAGCUGGUUCUCUCCGAAAUAGCUUUAGGGCUAGCCUCAAGGUAAGAGUCUUGGAGGUAGAGCACUGAUUGGACUAGGGGCCCCUACCGGGUUACCGAAUUCAGUCAAACUCCGAAUGCCAAAGACUUAUCCUUGGGAGUCAGACUGCGAGUGAUAAGAUCCGUAGUCGAAAGGGAAACAGCCCAGACCGCCAGCUAAGGUCCCAAAGUAUACGUUAAGUGGAAAAGGAUGUGGAGUUGCUUAGACAACCAGGAUGUUGGCUUAGAAGCAGCCACCAUUUAAAGAGUGCGUAAUAGCUCACUGGUCGAGUGACUCUGCGCCGAAAAUGUACCGGGGCUAAACGUAUCACCGAAGCUGCGGACUGUUCUUGCGAACAGUGGUAGGAGAGCGUUCUAAGGGCUGUGAAGCGAGACCGGAAGGACUCGUGGAGCGCUUAGAAGUGAGAAUGCCGGUAUGAGUAGCGAAAGAGGGGUGAGAAUCCCCUCCACCGAAUGCCUAAGGUUUCCUGAGGAAGGCUCGUCCGCUCAGGGUUAGUCGGACCUAAGCCGAGGCCGAAAGGCGUAGGCGAUGGACAACAGGUUGAUAUUCCUGUACCACCUCCUCACCAUUGAGCAAUGGGGGACGCAGGAGGAUAGGGUAAGCGCGGUAUGGAUAUCCGCGUCCAAGCAGUUAGGCUGGGAAAUAGGUAAAUCCGUUUCCGUAAGGCUGACUGUGAUGGCGAGCGAAAUAUAGUAGCGAAGUUCCUGAUUCCACACUGCCAAGAAAAGCCUCUAGCGAGUGAGAGGUGCCCGUACCGCAACCGACACAGGUAGGCGAGGAGAGAAUCCUAAGGUGAUCGAGAGAACUCUCGUUAAGGAACUCGGCAAAAUGACCCCGUAACUUCGGGAGAAGGGGUGCUCUGUUAGGGUGCAAGCCCGAGAGAGCCGCAGUGAAUAGGCCCAGGCGACUGUUUAGCAAAAACAGGUCUCUGCGAAGCCGUAAGGCGAAGUAUAGGGGCUGACGCCUGCCCGGUGCUGGAAGGUUAAGAGGAGCGCUUAGCGUAAGCGAAGGUGCGAAUUGAAGCCCCAGUAAACGGCGGCCGUAACUAUAACGGUCCUAAGGUAGCGAAAUUCCUUGUCGGGUAAGUUCCGACCCGCACGAAAGGCGCAACGAUCUGGGCACUGUCUCAACGAGAGACUCGGUGAAAUUAUAGUACCUGUGAAGAUGCAGGUUACCCGCGACAGGACGGAAAGACCCCGUGGAGCUUUACUGCAGCCUGAUAUUGAAUGUUGGUACAGCUUGUACAGGAUAGGUAGGAGCCUUGGAAACCGGAGCGCCAGCUUCGGUGGAGGCAUCGGUGGGAUACUACCCUGGCUGUAUUGACCUUCUAACCCGCUGCCCUUAUCGGGCAGGGAGACAGUGUCAGGUGGGCAGUUUGACUGGGGCGGUCGCCUCCUAAAAGGUAACGGAGGCGCCCAAAGGUUCCCUCAGAAUGGUUGGAAAUCAUUCGCAGAGUGUAAAGGCACAAGGAGCUUGACUGCGAGACCUACAAGUCGAGCAGGGACGAAAGUCGGGCUUAGUGAUCCGGUGGUUCCGCAUGGAAGGGCCAUCGCUCAACGGAUAAAAGCUACCCCGGGGA